RNAcentral lists this long non-coding RNA (581 nucleotides) under Macaca nemestrina (pig-tailed macaque). RNAcentral describes it as "lncRNA (ENSMNEG00000045988.1)". Lineage: Eukaryota; Metazoa; Chordata; Mammalia; Primates; Cercopithecidae. The record is from RNAcentral.
AAUUUCCCUGUUCUUGUUCCAGGUUUUCAAAGAAAUUCCCCUAGCAUCCUUGUCACUCCUGCAUUCCAGGGGACAUUCCAGGAAAAGGCUGUUUUACCACUUGAAGAAAGAGGACUAGAAUAAGUGAAGGGUGUCUCAUGCAUCUGUGUCCUGAGUUCACCAAUCUCCGUAUAUGGGCUCGACUCCCAGUGGCAACAGCUGGAGAGGAGGCAAGGAACCCUGGAACUGCCACCUGAUAGGCUGUCUUCCUAGCUCCUCUCGCACUGGCAAUCCUUUCAUCACACAGGCCUUGUUUUGAAGGGACCUAUCCCACCCACAGUGGUUUCUCACCUCUAGGAGGCCAAAAAGCUGUAGUCAAUUGCUGUGGCAUCAGGAACUCCAGUUCUUCUCAGAGGUGUUGUGAAGAGCUUCCCUUCCAACAGUACAUGGCCUAAAUACCAGGGAGGAAGUAUCUGACUCUUCCCAUUUUCAGUGAAACAGAACAACUGUUGUGGAUGCAGUGGCUUUGCAAGGAGAGUGGCAUUGUCUCUUGGUGAAUGUAGUUGUUCAGGGCAUGGGGAGGAGACAGGUUUAGUUUUGAU